Bubalus bubalis (water buffalo) is the source of this 664-nucleotide long non-coding RNA. RefSeq lists it as uncharacterized. The record is from RefSeq and is a predicted model, not a curated record. The transcript has 2 exons. NCBI's taxonomy places the organism in Eukaryota, Metazoa, Chordata, Mammalia, Artiodactyla, Bovidae.
GAUCUACCUGACCCAGAGAUUGAACCCACGUCUCUUACAUCUCCUGCAUUGGCAGCACCUUUGUCCCUAUUCCAACACAGUCAUCAAUGAUCCAUACAUUUCUUGGGAAAGAAAGAACCACAGUUUCUAGAACUUCAGAGGAUCAGAGGAGACCAACCUAUUUCAAGGCUUUGGCAGUCUGGAAUUCCCACUGGAAGAGAGGAACAAUGGAGGAAAAUGUAACAGCCUAGAAUCAGAACCUCAGCGUGACUUCUGGCCCCAGUUCUGAUUUACUCUGUUGACUGAACGAAUUACCAAGACUUUGGGGGCCUCAGGUGAAUGUAUUCACUACAUAGUAAAUGUAUGAUGCUAAAUAAUCUAAGCUUAUUGCAUUCACCGAUUCAUCCAUUUAAUAUUUAUAAAGUACUUGAUUCUGCACUGUGCAGAAUACAAGACAUUUCUAUUAUAUAAGAUCUAGGCACAGGCACACACUGACUCCAUUACUCAGAAUGUGAUAGGAGCUGCAAAUAAAGAUACAAAAUGGUGAGGGGCUGUAGCUGUUCUAUUGUGGGUCUCUAAGCUACUUCUCUUGCCUAGAAAAUCCCAUGGACAGAGGAGCCUGGUGGGCUGCAGUCCAUGGAGUCGCAAAGAGUCAGACAUGACUAAGCUACUUCACUUUCACUUU